UCCAAAAAAAACCCUGGGUUUCCGUGUCCAACGUUUGACCGUUCGUCUUAUUUAAAAACAUUAUGAAAAAAAAUUAAAAAGACAAGUCACGUAUAAAGUAUUAAUCAUGUUUAUCAUCUAACAACAAUAAAAAUAGAAAUUAUAAAAAAAAUUCUUAUAAUACGGACAGUCAAAUGUUAGACACAGAAACCCAGGGUUUGUGUUUUU
This 207-nucleotide microRNA precursor is filed under the name Oryza sativa Japonica Group (Japanese rice). RNAcentral describes it as "MIR812 microRNA precursor family". It matches the Rfam family "MIR812 microRNA precursor family". The record is from Rfam by way of RNAcentral. Lineage: Eukaryota; Viridiplantae; Streptophyta; Magnoliopsida; Poales; Poaceae.